GCGCAGGAAAAGAAACCAACAGGGAUUGCCCCAGUAACGGCGAGUGAAGCGGCAACAGCUCAAAUUUGAAAUCUGGCUUCGGCCCGAGUUGUAAUUUGCAGAGGAAGCUUUAGGCGCGGCACCAUCUGAGUCCCCUGGAACGGGGCGCCAAAGAGGGUGAGAGCCCCGUAUAGAUGGACGCCUAGCCUGUGUAAAGCUCCUUCGACGAGUCGAGUAGUUUGGGAAUGCUGCUCAAAAUGGGAGGUAAAUUUCUUCUAAAGCUAAAUAUUGGCCAGAGACCGAUAGCGCACAAGUAGAGUGAUCGAAAGAUGAAAAGCACUUUGAAAAGAGGGUUAAAUAGCACGUGAAAUUGUUGAAAGGGAAGCGCUUGUGACCAGACUUGCGCCGGGCGGAUCAUCCGGUGUUCUCACCGGUGCACUCCGCCCGGCUCAGGCCAGCAUCGGUUCUCGUGGGGGGAUAAAGGCACCGGGAACGUAGCUCCUCCGGGAGUGUUAUAGCCCGGGGCGUAAUGCCCUCGCGGGGACCGAGGACCGCGCUUCUGCUAGGAUGCUGGCGUAAUGGUCAUCAGCGACCCGUCUUGAAACACGGACCAAGGAGUCAAGGUUUUGCGCGAGUGUUUGGGUGUAAAACCCGCACGCGUAAUGAAAGUGAACGUAGGUGAGAGCUUCGGCGCAUCAUCGACCGAUCCUGAUGUUCUCGGAUGGAUUUGA
RNAcentral lists this ribosomal RNA (710 nucleotides) under uncultured Zopfiella. Its description in RNAcentral is "eukaryotic LSU rRNA". It matches the Rfam family "Eukaryotic large subunit ribosomal RNA", at positions 50 to 793 of the family's 3401-position model. The record is from RNAcentral. Lineage: Eukaryota; Fungi; Ascomycota; Sordariomycetes; Sordariales; Chaetomiaceae.